AGCUAUGCAACAAGAUCAGGGUGGCGAUGGUCAGUUCUUGAGCUUCGAACGGGCAGAAAGCUAUACAACAAGAUCAGGGUGGCGAUGGUCAGUUCUUGAGCUUCGAACGGGCAGAAAGCUAUACAGCAAGAUCAGGGUGGCGAUGGUCAGUUCUUGAGCUUCUAACGUGCAGAAAGCUAUACAACAAGAUCAGGGUGGCGCUGGUUAGUUCUUGAGCUUCUAACGGGCAGAAAGCUAUACAAUGAGAUGAGGCGGGUCAUUGUCUGUUUCUGAGCUGCAUACCAUUACACUCAAGUGAGAAGAUAUAUGAAGAUAUGCAAAUGAUAUACAUGUACUCGUAGUAAUCAUGUCCUUGCCACUCUCCGUGACAUCACAAGAUAUCCCGGGAAGUGAUAGUGAUGUCAUGGAUGUGUGUAUAGUAUUGUAUACAACACAAUCCCAUAUCAUGGUGAAUGAUCUCAGUGUGUGGUAUCCGCACAUGCUGGUCAGGAACUGAGAAUAUAGUAUGUCAGUAUUGAUGCAAUGCAAUUGGAACUUGACUUGAUAAUGCAUGCGAGUUAUCUUCAAUU
This is a long non-coding RNA of Sycon ciliatum, 569 nucleotides long. RefSeq lists it as uncharacterized. The transcript is spliced from 5 exons. The record is from RefSeq and is a predicted model, not a curated record. NCBI's taxonomy places the organism in Eukaryota, Metazoa, Porifera, Calcarea, Leucosolenida, Sycettidae.